This 497-nucleotide ribosomal RNA is filed under the name uncultured bacterium. Its description in RNAcentral is "partial 16S ribosomal RNA". It matches the Rfam family "Bacterial small subunit ribosomal RNA", at positions 28 to 507 of the family's 1533-position model. The record is from RNAcentral.
GAUGAACGCUGGCGGCGUGCCUAAUACAUGCAAGUCGAGCGAACAGACGAGGAGCUUGCUCCUCUGACGUUAGCGGCGGACGGGUGAGUAACACGUGGAUAACCUACCUAUAAGACUGGGAUAACUUCGGGAAACCGGAGCUAAUACCGGAUAAUAUAUUGAACCGCAUGGUUCAAUAGUGAAAGACGGUUUUGCUGUCACUUAUAGAUGGAUCCGCGCCGCAUUAGCUAGUUGGUAAGGUAACGGCUUACCAAGGCGACGAUGCGUAGCCGACCUGAGAGGGUGGUCGGCCACACUGGAACUGAGACACGGUCCAGACUCCUACGGGAGGCAGCAGUAGGGAAUCUUCCGCAAUGGGCGAAAGCCUGACGGAGCAACGCCGCGUGAGUGAUGAAGGUCUUCGGAUCGUAAAACUCUGUUAUUAGGGAAGAACAAAUGUGUAAGUAACUAUGCACGUCUUGACGGUACCUAAUAAGAAAGCCACGGCUAACUACGUG